Molecule: RNA transcript, 6399 nt
Organism: Prosopis cineraria
Lineage: Eukaryota; Viridiplantae; Streptophyta; Magnoliopsida; Fabales; Fabaceae
Gene name: cyclin-dependent kinase G-2
Exons: 8
Source: RefSeq, a predicted model, not a curated record
GCUUCCUUUUCUUUGCGUGGUCACGCCUACUUUUCACCCUCCCUGGACGAAGGUCGCUCUCCUCUAUCUCCCCGUCGCCUGCCUCUGUCGCUCUUUACCUAUCAUUCGUAAGCCAUUUCAAUUCGCUUAUCAUUCCCUGUUUAGUGCGAGGAUCGAUGAUUCUGGAUCAACUCCAAUGAUUACCACUGUUUAAUAUCUCUUUAUUUUUCGUUUCCCCCCUCUCGAUAUCUUUGAAUUUCUAGGCUUUCAUAUCUGAUCCUGUCUGUACCCGUCGAUUUUGACUGCACAGUAGCGUCGCCGUAGGACUUCUGUUUAUCUUCAAGGGCGUGGUUGUCUGAAAUCGAAUUGUUAUCGGAUCUGACUUCGUUGUUAGGGUUUCUAAUUGAUUUACGCCUAUUCGUGUUCCUCAAAUUAGAAAUUCCAGGCUGAGUUUUCUGUGCUCUGGGUUUAGGGUUUCGCAAGCAGAAAUCCUACGUCUGGUUGGAGAGGGAUCAGGGGUUUUGCCUACAAGUUAGCAUUUAGGUACAUUUAUGGCUGCUGGGAGACAUGGAGGCUAUCGCGACAAUGAAUUUAGGGAUCGUGAGUCCAAUUUUGAUGUCUCAAGGCGGGGAUAUGCUAAUUCUGAGGAAGAUUACGAUCGGAUUAGGACUGGUAGCCGCGAUGAUGCGAGAGGUCGGAGCACGAAUGCAAGAGAUAGAAUUAGAAUGAGACAGAAGGAUAUAAGGGAGAGAGAGGCGAUGAAUGGGAGUUAUCAUUCAUCUUCAAGUAGGAGUAACUCGGGGAGCAGCAGUGGUGGCCUUGGUCCCAAAAAAUGUGGUUUUUCUGUCAAGGCAACGGAUAGGGAGCCAGGUGAGCUUUCCAGCGACAGUGGCUCUGAUGAAGCUAUUGAAUCAGAACCUCAGGGGAAAGGCUUUGAGGUCGCGAAGGUUGAAAAAAAUGGGGCGCUGUCUCCGGUGGAGAGGAAAAGAAAAUUUUCACCGAUAGUGUGGGAUCAAGAUGACAAAGAAGUCAAUAGUUCAUCCAAACUUAAGGUGUCCACAACUUUGACUGCUCUUCCUCCUCCACCACCACUGCCAAAAGCAUUCCGUCAGUCACCUAAUGCUCCAUUUGGUGGAGUGGAGAUACAUCCCGUGAACAAUAGAGAAACUGAUAGUCUUGAGUUGCCUACAGCAGUUAAACGUCCUCUGUCCUCUGAGUCAGUUCAGGAUGUUGAUACCGAGUCUACUGUCAGAGUGGUUCCUUUGUCACCGGAUCAAAAUUUGGGCAAUGAUCAGGAGGCUGAGCAGCAAGAGGGUGACGAUUAUGUUCCAAUGCAUAAUAUAUCAUCUUCAAGAUGGGCAGCUGGGGAUAACUCUCCUGGCGAUGAAGGUGAAAUUGUAGAUGACGAUGAUGAAUUUUCUAAAAAGAAGAGGAGGUUAUCGCCAGAGAUAUUGAAUACCAGAGUACGAAACAAGCUGUUGAGCCCAGAGGAAUCAAAAAGAGAUGGUUACGAAGGAGCUAGAGCUAAAUCAUCUGAAUCUGAAGAAAGAGGUAGCCAUGGUAAAAUCUCCACUGGGGAUGAUCAUGCUGGUAUUGGAUCUGAUAAGGAUGACUAUAUGGAAAAUGAUGGUCAAGGUGUUAAAAGUGAAACCACUGUUAGCCACUCGGAUACUGCUUCUGAAAAUGAAGAUGAUGGAAGGGAGACUCCAGAUCCCCCAGCUCCACCGCAAAGAGUUGUCAACAUGCUUCAGGGUUGUAGAAGUGUUGAUGAGUUCGAGAGACUCAACAAGAUAGAUGAAGGAACAUAUGGUGUUGUAUAUAGGGCCAAAGAUAAGAAGACUGGGGAAAUUGUGGCGUUGAAGAAGGUAAAGAUGGAGAAGGAAAAAGAGGGCUUUCCGCUGACUUCUCUUAGGGAAAUAAAUAUUCUACUUUCUUUUCACCACCCAUCUAUAGUUGAUGUUAAAGAAGUAGUGGUAGGUAGCAACCUUGAUAGUAUUUUUAUGGUGAUGGAAUACAUGGAACAUGAUCUUAAAGGACUAAUGGAGGCAAUGAAGCAGCCAUUCAGCCAGAGUGAAGUGAAGUGCCUUAUGCUCCAGCUUUUAGAAGGCGUGAAGUAUCUUCACGACAACUGGGUGCUUCACAGGGAUUUGAAGACUUCUAACCUGCUUUUGAAUAAUAGGGGUGAGUUAAAAAUUUGUGAUUUUGGGUUGGCUCGUCAGUAUGGGAGUCCAUUGAAAACGUACACGCACCUGGUUGUUACUCUUUGGUACAGGGCACCCGAACUACUUCUGGGGACAAAACAGUAUUCGACAGCCAUUGACAUGUGGUCUCUGGGUUGUAUAAUGGGUGAGCUAUUGUCCAAAGAACCGCUAUUCAAUGGGAAGACUGAGUUUGAUCAAAUUGACAAGAUUUUCCGUACUCUUGGGACACCAAAUGAAACAAUUUGGCCCGGGUUCUCUAAAUUACCUGGAGUGAAAGUCAAUUUUGUCAAGCAUCAGUAUAACCUUCUGCGCAAAAAAUUUCCUGCCACGUCAUUCACUGGUUCUCCAGUUCUCUCUGAUUCUGGAUUUGAUUUGUUGAACAAGCUUCUUACUUAUGACCCUGAAAAGAGGAUCACGGCUGAAGAAGCUCUCAAUCAUGAGUGGUUUCGUGAAGUUCCUCUUCCCAAGUCUAAAGAAUUCAUGCCUACUUUUCCUGCUCGACAUGCUCAAGAGAGGCGGACCCGAAGACUAUUAAAAAGCCCUGAUCCUUUGGAGGAGCAGCGUAGAAAGGAGUUGCAGCAGGGUGAAUUGGGGACUGGCGGUAUUUUUGGCUGAGAAUCAUGCUCUGUAAAGCUAUGGCCUUGAUAAUCAUUCUAACAUGCUCCGCUGAUUGUUUUCAUGGAUGAGGUGAGAGAGUGUACUGAGCAGAAGUUGCAAACAUUGUUAAACAAUCACUUGUGCUGAUUUUUUAGCAGGCACUUGAUUUUUGCGGAGAAUUUGUGUUCUUUUACCUCCUGGGAUCGUUGGCCAAAAAUACCUCCACAGAUCCAGAAUUCUUUCAGGUCAAUUUCCUGCCUGAUUUGGCCAUCAUAUAUAUACGAACUUGGAACACUGCCAGAAGCACAAGAGACUGUUGGUGUGAAGUGGCAGAGGGCCUUCUUGCAUUUCACUGAAGAAAUUGACAGUAACAUUGUGCUUAAAAGGUAAUGUAUUCCUUUAAUAUCUCGGAUAUUAAGGGAUAUGGAUUAUUUUUAUUUGUCCAUGAGGUAUAUUGUCCAUAAACCAAUGUUGUUUGCACGGGCACAUGAUCAGUAUUUUUUAAUUGAGUGAUGCUACUCAUACGACCAUAUUGGUUGGUAAUUACAGUUGUGUCUGAGAAGAGUUGGGUUGUUGGCUAUGUACAGAGUAAACGACUGCAAAUAAAGUUGUCUUGUGAGCAAUUUGAUUGUGGGAGUAUCAUUACUCAAUGUGCCUAGAAUUUUUCUCAUCCUUUCUGCAUAACAAUCCUGGCUGAGGAUUAUCAAUGUCACAAGGCUGCUAUUUGUGUGGAAGUCAUUAAUUGGAUAAGCCAUGAUCCCAUGGUUUGGGUUCUGUUUAAUACUAAAUUUUUUUAUUUUCAUGAAAAACGAAAGGUCAGCUCCAGUGGAUCUUAUUUCUGAGAUUUCUCUUUUAAAAAAACUAAUGACUGGUCAUCAACUUUGUUUCUGUGUGUACAAACUAAUUGAUACGUUAGACAGAUUGUUGAGAUGGGUUGAUUGGGCAGAAAUGUUACUUGCAUACGUAGCGUUUGAUAAUUAGGACAAUUCAAGAGGAUAUCUAUGAUGUUCAGCUUUGUGUUUAAUUUGUGUCAUGCCAUUACCUAUUAUAUUUAAACAACUUCAGGUCGCUUUGGCUAAUGCACUGUAUGUAAAUUGGAUAUAAAAUGCUCUUAAUUCUUCAGAUAUGAACUGCUGGAAAUUUAAGUGUGUUUGGCUAUCCAUUUCUAAAGCCCAGUUUGCGUUGGUAAAUCCACUUUCUUGAAAGCAACUUCUUUUUGCAUCUGCAAAAACAAGUUUUGGGUUGAUAUUUCAUUUGGAAAUAGUUUGAGUCACCCAAACGAGCAUAUAUCAAAACUAGGUUGGUAGAAAGUCACUUGGAGCCCUCUAACUGGAUAGCCAAACACACACCAAGUCCCUAGCAUAUUUGAUUUUCCACCUCCCUUGGGGGGAAAACAAAUAUAAGUAUUGUGGAUUGUACACUUUUAAUCAGUUCACACUAUGAUGAAUUAUUUUUUCAUGCUGGUGCCGGUUGAAUUGUGAUGUCAAGAUCUCAAUGAUCAUUCACUGGAUAGGUUGCUCGAGUUUGUUUUUUUUUUCCCCUUGCUCUCGUUUUUUUUUAUUGUUAUUUAUCUUGGUCAAAUUUUUUUAUUGAAUACAGUCAUGACUCUUGGGCCUUUUUACUCAUUUCUUCUUCACCCCCUUUUCCCAGAUAUAUAAUUAUAACUUUUUUUCAGCAUUUUAGCCUUAAGUGAGGUCCUCAUCUCAAUAGAGCGCCUAUAUUAUGAGUUCUUUGAAUUAGCUACUUCUCCAGCCGUUUGUUAAUUUUCCAUCCAUUCAGGAUCCUAUUUAACUAUAUUGGAUUCAUCCUCCUUCCCUAACACCAAAUAAAUUGCUGCGUCUUUUCACUAUAUCAUCUGUGUAUGUUGCUGUACCUAAAAAUAAAUUACUUGCUUAAAAGAAUUGAAAUGAAAUGAAAAUAAUUCAUGUCGUUUGUACUAAUGGAAAAUUGAAGUUUGGGCUGCUACAAGAAUUCUUUUAUGACAUUUGUCUGCAAAUGUCACUGCAGUAUCAAAGCACGCAGGUUGAGGAAGUUACUCGUUUACCCUGGAAUUUAUAGAACAUCAAUUAGUUGUUCCUUCGGGCUCUCUAGAGGGCACGACUGAAUGAUAGUUAUCACUUAAGGGAAAUCACCAUUCUCAAUGUAUCCUAAUGUGGUUGGUUUAGAAGGUCACUUGUGCUUGGACUGUGGUUGAUACUUUUUAAGAUGGUAGGAUGGACUUUCUUUUCAAUUUUAUUAUUUACAUUUUUCGUGGUGGUUGAUGAAAUGGAAAGGAGCUGUCAUCUGGGCUAAUAUAUGGCAAGGUGAUGGAGGGGGGAACAUUUUUUAACUCUGAAAUAACGUUUGUAUGCAUCCUAUUUAAUUAAUUCUAUCUAGGUAGUAUAAUGUUGAGCUGCAGUUUUUUUUUUUUUUUAAAGAAAUAGAAGAUAGCCAUUCGUCUUUACCCUGCAAUUUAUGGAGAACAAAAUAUAUGGGAUGAUAUACGAUAUUCUCACAAUUAACUUGUAAUAAAUACGCUUAUGACAUAAGGUGUUUCUCUAUAAUAUGCAUCCUUCACAUUUCCCAAAGUUCCAUAUUUUAUUUUGUUUGCUGGUUCUGAUAUGGUGGAAAGUUGUUGCUUUUCUGUGGAUUAUUUAUCACAAGUCUUAGAGUAAUUAUUUUGGAAGACAUAUAUUAUCAAUCAAAUUUUGUCUUAAAACUGGAUUAAUAUCAUUCUUGAGGCAGUAAGUGGUAAGGUGUAGUUCAAGUUGAUGUGAUGAAAGUUUUGCUACGUGUCAUGGUUGAUAUCUGCAGUACCCAGACCGUUUGUUAUUGAAAUUUUUUAAUGCUGUUUUUCUAAUGUACAGAUAGAAUGUAACAUAUAUAUAACUAUCAAUUGAGCUUUAUAAACAUUUUUACACAGAUUUAUGAAAGCUUUGACAAAAUUGAUGUGGUUCUUGUCUAAACUUUGUGUGCCUGUGGCUAUUAUGUAAUCUGUCACAUGGUAUAAACAUAAUUGCACUUGAUGGUGCGUGCUUGUGAGGUGGGAUGCAAUGCAAAUCAUUCAAACUCAAAUAUGAUCAAUUUCUAGUUACCUCUUCCCAAACAGGCAAAGUCCUCUGAUGAAAAACUCUUAGUAAUGACCUUACCUGCCAAGGGUACAAAUGACUGUAAUGACACUUAUCGUGAUUGUUCUGCUAUAACUAUGAAUGUAAGGGUGAACCAAGAUGAUUUUGUGAUGAUUUGCAUAGAAGUUUUUGAAUGGCAGAAUGCUGCUUAAUUUGUGCAGUUUUGAUUUUUAUUCACUAGUUGAUCAUUCUUUUUUAAUUCUAACGUUUUGCCUGUUGCUGUUGGGAUGAGGUGCAAUCCAUUCUCGUGUGAUGCCAUACCUGGUUUAUUACGUUCAUUCUUCCUAGCAUGUCAACGUACCACGAUGGAGGGGUGUAGUUAGCGCAGGUUGCUGACUGGCAGUUGUGCAUGAUUGUCAUAAUUUUUAGUCAGUCAAUUAAUGUAUUUGCUAUAUUUCCGCAAUCCACGCCAAUAAUUAGAGGGGACAUUUAUGUUUGUUCUAGAGCCCGCCAUCAAGCUUUGUGGGUUUUGUUUUAGACAAGGAAAAUAGAUGACUUGUUUUUGCUUCUAUAAA